CCUACGGGGGGCUGCAGUGGGGAAUAUUGGGCAAUGGACGCAAGUCUGACCCAGCAACGCCGCGUGAAGGAAGAAGGCUUUCGGGUUGUAAACUUCUUUUAAGGGGGAAGAGCAGAAGACGGUACUCCUUGAAUAAGCCACGGCUAACUACGUGCCAGCAGCCGCGGUAAUACGUCGGUGGCAAGCGUUGUCCGGAUUUACUGGGGGUAAAGGGCGUGCAGCCGGAGAGACAAGUCAGAUGUGAAAUCCGCGGGCUCAACCCGCGAACUGCAUUUGAAACUGUUUCCCUUGAGUAUCGGAGAGGUCAUCGGAAUUCCUAGUGUAGCGGUGAAAUGCGUAGAUAUUAGGAAGAACACCAGUGGCGAAGGCGGAUGACUGGACGACAACUGACGGUGAGGCGCGAAAGCGUGGGGAGCAAACAGGAUUAGAUACCCCAGUAGUC
Molecule: ribosomal RNA, 442 nt
Filed under: uncultured bacterium
Lineage: Bacteria
Description: partial 16S ribosomal RNA
Rfam family: Bacterial small subunit ribosomal RNA
Source: RNAcentral